Molecule: ribosomal RNA, 500 nt
Filed under: uncultured soil bacterium
Lineage: Bacteria
Description: bacterial SSU rRNA
Rfam family: Bacterial small subunit ribosomal RNA
Source: RNAcentral
AGAGUUUGAUCCUGGCUCAGAAUCAACGCUGGCGGCGUGCCUAACACAUGCAAGUCGAACGAGAAAGUGGAGCAAUCCAUGAGUAAAGUGGCGACCGGGUGAGUAACACGUGACUAACCUACCCUAGAGUGGGGAAUAACCUCGGGAAACCGGGGCUAAUACCGCAUAACAUCAUCGGGUGUAAAUUUCUGAUGAUCAAAGGAGCAAUUCGCUCAAGGAGGGGGUCGCGGCUGAUUAGUUAGUUGGUGAGGUAACGGCUCACCAAGACUUAGAUCAGUAGCCGGCCUGAGAGGGCGCACGGCCACACUGGAACUGAAACACGGUCCAGACUCCUACGGGAGGCAGCAGUGGGGAAUUUUGCGCAAUGGGGGAAACCCUGACGCAGCAACGCCGCGUGGAGGAUGAAGUCCCUUGGGAUGUAAACUCCUUUCGAUCGGGACGAUAAUGACGGUACCGAAAGAAGAAGCACCGGCUAACUCUGUGCCAGCAGCCGCGGUAAU